UUUUAUGUGCAUACAUAAGCAUAGAAUAACAAUUUUUCAUCUAUUUCCUUUUCAUAGAUAUCAAGAAUGUGGAUUUUAUGGACGUGCACAGUGAUAUUUUUACUGGUCAGAGAGUGUCACUGCAUUCAAAAGACCACGUUAUCUAAGAACUGGGGACCACAGUCAAUGCUUUACCUAAAGGGAAAACAUGGAAGACGGUUUGUUCCUGACAUUGAUGAUAUUAUUUCAAGUUCAGGGUUGAAAAGCUGGUACGCAGUUCUCAAAGGGUUUCAGAAACUGAAGUCGCUGAAUGCAAGAAAACAAUCAGGAUUGUUCACAAUGCAGAACUUUGUUAUCCGUUAACUUUUUGUUUGCUGGGUCUGUACAGUGUGCCAUAUUUUGUAAUGUUUACGAUUCAAAAUAAAUCUAUUUAUGUCAAAUAUGUGGGAGAAUUU
This is a long non-coding RNA of Cyprinus carpio (common carp), 434 nucleotides long. The record is from Ensembl. NCBI's taxonomy places the organism in Eukaryota, Metazoa, Chordata, Actinopteri, Cypriniformes, Cyprinidae.